GUAGUUACAUAGAGGAGUAGAGAGAUGAGUGCUGUGCCGAAGCAUUCUCAUUCGGAUAGCAGCAAUAACAAAGAGGAAAGGCCGCGGUUCUUUGGUACGAAAACGAAGAACUUGUGCUGGGAAAAAGCUGAUAUCGUCCCCGGACGGCAUCCGGAACGCUGGCGCAAAGACGCCGCCGGUAACACCGUCUGCAGGCGCUUCUGCAAUUGCUAUGGAUGUCUCUGUUUUGAGUUUGACCACAUCAUACCCUACUCUAAAGGUGGAGAAUCUACGGCUGAGAACUGUCAAAUUCUUCAAAGCAGGGUUAACCGAUUUAAAUCAGAUAAGGACCAGGUGGAGAAAACAGAUAUGCAGGGUUUCUCUUGUGAUUUAAAGUUUACCGAGGUUUUGAGAUAUGCAGGAUUCAUAAGCCAAUUGGUUCUGCAUGUGGAUCUUUCAGGUCGAAAUUCAAUCCAGUUGGAGUAGUACAAUUGUGUUAUCUUUUUUCAUUCUUUUGGACUGUCCGGAAUAGAGCUCUGACUAUUAUUUGAUCUUAAUAGUCCUGAAGUUCUAACCUAGUUACUUCUAUUGGGUGGGAUCUGUUGAAUGGUGAGUUACAAUUCUGUCUGCAAACAUCUACAUCCUGUAAGGUCUGUGAUAGUUGCGUUCGUAGUCUAAUACAAUUAUUUUCUCUUGUAGAGAAUACUAAUUGUGCUGGCUUGGGGGCAGGGUAGAAGUUUUUGUCUAGUCUAUCCAUGCCCGAGUGUACAAGUGAGAGCAGGAUUACCUGUCAGCGGGUCGUAGAUAGUAGAAGCUGACAAGGAGCUCGACAUUAUUGAGAUGGCUGUUUAUGGAGAUGUGAUCCGACCAGGUAACCAGUGCCGUUGCAGAACCAUGGCUGAAAUGCUUGGUCAAUUUAAGCCAAAAGACCACAUGGC
Telopea speciosissima is the source of this 917-nucleotide RNA transcript. RefSeq lists it as uncharacterized. The record is from RefSeq and is a predicted model, not a curated record. NCBI's taxonomy places the organism in Eukaryota, Viridiplantae, Streptophyta, Magnoliopsida, Proteales, Proteaceae. The transcript is spliced from 4 exons.